GUGUAUUGAAAACCCCGGUGGUCACGGAUUGGCUCGCGUCCCAUUAGGUAGACGGCGGGGUAACGGCCCACCGUGCCGACGAUGGGUAGGGGUUCUGAGAGGAAGGUCCCCCACAAUGGAACUGAGACACGGUCCAUACUCCUACGGGAGGCAGCAGUGAGGAAUAUUGGUCAAUGGGCGGAAGCCUGAACCAGCCAUGCCGCGUGCGGGACGACGGCCCUACGGGUUGUAAACCGCUUUUGUGUGUGAGCAAUAAGGGCAUUUAGUACGUCCGAUGAGAGUAGCAUACGAAUAAGCAUCGGCUAACUCCGUGCCAGCAGCCGCGGUAAUACGGAGGAUGCGAGCGUUAUCCGGAUUCAUUGGGUUUAAAGGGUGCGUAGGCUGUGCGUUAAGUCAGGGGUGAAAUACCGGCGCUCAACGUCGGGGCUGCCCUUGAUACUGGCGUGCUGGAGUGCGGAUGCCGCCGGAGGAAUGAGUGGUGUAGCGGUGAAAUGCUUAGAUAUCACUCAGAACACCGAUUGCGAAGGCAUCUGGCGAAUCCGCUACUGACGCUGAGGCACGAAAGCGUGGGGAUAGAACA
Molecule: ribosomal RNA, 580 nt
Filed under: uncultured rumen bacterium
Lineage: Bacteria
Description: bacterial SSU rRNA
Rfam family: Bacterial small subunit ribosomal RNA
Source: RNAcentral